RNAcentral lists this ribosomal RNA (220 nucleotides) under uncultured bacterium. RNAcentral's name for it is "partial 16S ribosomal RNA". It matches the Rfam family "Bacterial small subunit ribosomal RNA", at positions 118 to 340 of the family's 1533-position model. The record is from RNAcentral.
UGAGCAAUCUGCCCUUCACAUCGGAAUAACCAUUGGGAACGAUGGCUAAUACCGAAUAUGACUUCGGAUCGCAUGAUCUGAAGUGGAAAGCUCCGGCGGAGAAGGAUGAGCUCGCGGCCUAUCAGCUAGUUGGUGUGGGUAAUGGCCCACAAGGCGACGACGGGUAGCCGGCCUGAGAGGGUGACCGGCACACUGGGACUGAGACACGGCCCAGAUCCUA